This 418-nucleotide long non-coding RNA is filed under the name Homo sapiens (human). RNAcentral's name for it is "non-protein coding lnc-FGF10-4:1". The record is from RNAcentral. Lineage: Eukaryota; Metazoa; Chordata; Mammalia; Primates; Hominidae.
GAUUAUACCAUCUGCUUUCUGCCUUCCAGAAUUCAUAAAAUCGUCUUUCUAAUCAUCACCCCUUUCUUUUUUCAACUCCUUUGUGGACAUUUUAUUCCAUUUUCUGCAUCUCUUUUGUUUUUGUUUUUUUUCUUUAUUUCUUAUUUCAGAGGAUUGGAGUGGGAAGGAUAAGGUAUACUGUGUUUCAGCCUUGCAUUUAAACCAAAAGUCUCAACCAUGUUUUUUUGUUGUUGUUGUUGUCUUUUUUGAGACGGAGUCUCACUCUGUCGCCAGGCUGGAGUGCAGUGGCACAAUCUCGGCUCACUGCAACCUCUGCCUCCCAGGAGAAUCUCUUGAGCCUGGGAGGUGGAGGUUGCCCUGAACCAAGAUGGUACCACUGCACUCCCGUCUGGGAGAGAGAGUGAAACCUUGUCUCAGA